AUCUGUCAGAGCUAUGAUAACACUGGCGGUCCGAUAACCUGCGGGUGUAAACCAUUUGAUCAGAUCCUUUUAGUAUAAAUAUGUGAUCUAUGCUUAGCUAGACACUUUUGUAAAUGUAACCUAAUUUAUAAGCAUGCAGUUGCAAGUACGUAGUCUUUUAAAGCUUCAGAGACCCUCUGACUCUUAAGUAUUUAGCUCGAGGAUGUUUUUUUGGAAGACUUUGGCAUGACAACAAACCCACAUAGGAGAGUAAAAUCUUGAUCAUACGAACCUUCUGUAUUUCCAUGAUAUAUCUGCUCACUGGCCUGUGGAACAAACACACCGACGAUAAGCUGGCAAUCAACCACAUUCUACAGGAAGGUAAUAUCUGUUCAAUUUAUUGAGUCAUGUGUUUAGUGUUCACGUUAUGUGAAGAGUGAAGACAGAGUGGUGCUGGAGCUCACCCUCAGGAUGCCCUCGUGCAUGAAGGUGUCUCCACCUGGAUGAACUCCCUGGAGCUCCUCCAGACCUUUGCGGAUGCGUUCUCUAAGAGUUGAACUCACUUGUCCAAGACAAAAUAGAGGUCAAAGCCUCCGUAGCACGAGGACGACCCUGCCAGCCUUCUCUCGUGGUCGGAUCCAGCAUGAACAAGAGGAACAACCAGAGUGGCAGCAAACAAAGCUGGAAGCCAGGAUCUUCUACUCCAACAUGAAGGCAUUAUUCCAUCUGAAAACCCCACAAAGGUAAAGGG
This is a long non-coding RNA of Syngnathus acus (greater pipefish), 730 nucleotides long. RefSeq lists it as uncharacterized. The transcript has 2 exons. The record is from RefSeq and is a predicted model, not a curated record. NCBI's taxonomy places the organism in Eukaryota, Metazoa, Chordata, Actinopteri, Syngnathiformes, Syngnathidae.